AGGCUGUGAAAGAGUUCCUGGAGAGAAUGUGGCGUGCUAGAUGCAGGAACUAGUGGUGUGAAAGAUGAUGAUUGUCCUCUUUGUUGUUUGUGUUUUUUCGUAUUUUCCUUACAGGCGCUGCCGAUUCAAAGGCCUGACGCAGAAGAAAUUCUUGCGUCACCUGCAACAUCAAGAUCAAGAUCAGUAUCAGUGUUGAUACUUGAUAGUGGACACAGCUGAUUCAGCACGUCACCCUGACCUUGCCCACCCAAUAGUGCCACCGCCCACUCCCGGUACAGUGUCUGGUGUCGUCACCCUUCGCUCGUAGAGGAGAAAAUGAUGAGAUCAGCCUUGAUGAAGUCCACCUGGAUUGGACCUUUCGGCAGAGCUGAAGACUUGGCUCGACAAAUACAACAAAAGUGGACAGUGGAAGGAACAGUUCGAAAAAUUACUAUAAAAACUAGACAGUGGAGGGGCAAAACUAUCAUACAAGGGUUUCAAGUGUGGAUUAGAGAUGGAGGAGGGAGAGCUUUUGGAAUGAACUACAAUGAUCCAUUCAACACAGUAACCUUUACUAUCCCUGAUGAUAGACAAAUCAGCAAGGUCUGCAUUGAGUCUGAUACUUACAUACACUCUCUUGGCUUCAUGCUUGACAAUGGUGAAGUGUUAGGGCCUGUUGGAACUGCAACCCAAACCAAAGAAAAAACCAUACCGGAACACUGUGAUGACCUUAAGAGUGUAGUGCUGUGUGGAAUAUCAGGUAUUACGGUUCGUAGUGAAAAAGCUCCACUUAUUUCCAAUGUCAAGUUUAAUUUUCAGUAUUAGCUAUUCUAAAAACAGUAUUAGUGAACAAGGAACAAAUCAUUAUUUUUGAUUGGUAUCUAUUGUGUUACUUGUACUGAACUGUAGCUAUAUGUUGAAAUUAUAAUGUUCAUGUUACUGUGAUAUUCAUAGUUGUCGCAAUACAUCCAAUUUUUUUUCUAUUUCUGAAUCACAAAUUAAUUUCUUGUUGGUUAAGAACUGCAUUAUUUACUUUACAUUUUUGUCUUGUAAGAACAAUGAUUUCUCUUAAUGUAUAAUAGGGAUCGACUGAUUGUCAGCCAGGCCAAAUAUCAGUUAUUGGCCUCCUUGACUACUAAUAAUUGGUUUCGGUAUUGGCCCUGAUAAAAACAUAUCAGUCAAUCUCUAAUGUAUAAUCAACAUGAAUGUAUUCACACGUAAUAUUUCAAUUGUGUUAAUGAUUUUGUUAAGGUUAUGAUAUAAGAAAUGUAAUGAAAUUCAGCCAGUAGCAAGGCGUGAAGCUCGAGCUGAGUACCUUCCCUUGGACAGAGUAGGGAUGGCCUUAGUGAGAGGUGUCAGGCAUGCUCUCACACCUACAUACUGGUAUUAUGGCAACCAGAAACCUUGGAGUGUUGUUUCCUUCCCACAGCAUUGCCAAGACUCUUUGCCAUCACCUACAGGAGGGUAAAGACUCUUGAAGCCUUUGGACACAAAACAGUGAUGGCCAGGACAGACCACUGUCUCUUCAACCAGGAAGCCCAACAACAGUACACCACCCUUACAUAGAAGGGGAAGUCCCUCCUAACCACCAACAAGAAGCUACUGGAGCUGUUUAAGUCCCAGGCACCCCACAGGACACCACUACCACCAUCCAUCCCUGCAUACAUGACCCCUCUUCCCACCACCACGCCAGUCCAUCCUGCCAGCUCCAACUCUGCUCUCGUCAUGGGGAAUAGAUUCUUGCCACCAGUGGAACACCAAGAGGGAGAAUAGGAAGAUACUCUGCCUCAGGGACUCUGCAGCCUCCAAUUCAACCUGGCUCAAACAUUUACCUUCCACAAGCAUCAAACUCCAUUUGACUAAGGUUGGAGUGACACCACUCAACCACCAUCAGCCACAGGACAGCCUUUCUGGUCAAGAGGGCUGUAGGUUGUUUUGCUGUGCCAUCAACAACACCCACUGUGCUACCAUCCUGCAAACCCAUACCGACAGCCAUCCCACUACAACAGCAGCACCUAACCCACCAAAUACACCGUCCUCACCCAUCACUUCAUCCUCCUGUGGAAAGGCUUUUAGUUGUACCAGCAAGGUUUCUCUGUCAAAAGUAUUCACGGCACUCUGGCACACCCUCUCCAUGCUCCUGUUUGUCUUGCUCUGUUAAUGGCACUCACCUUCUUGCUAGGGAAUGACAGACCCCUCCUCCAGAACUCAAACAAAGAACAUGUUAAGGAGACACUCCCCACCAUCCUUGGGGUGUAUGUGACAUGGCUCACACUGCACCUCACUCUUCACUUACCUGACUGUCAUGUCACCAGGCAGGACCAUCCCUAGGCUUGUGGUGGGGUAGUCCUUCUUGGCCUCCGCAAAACACUGGUUUACUUAAUCCUCAGCUUUCCACCAUGGCCAAGUGGACACCUGAAGAUUGUUCUUCCCAUUCUUUCUUCACCCAAAGGACAUGGGAGUUUAUCCAUACCAUGGAAAGAGCUGACACGCUCCCUCUCUCCCUCUCAAAAGUUUACAUGGACAACGUGAUGAUCUCCAUAAGGCAAAAGUCCUGGCUGGUCGCAACCACCUGAAAGUUUGAUGUUUUUCCACCCUCCAGCCACCUCCAGACCUCAAACCAUUCAUCACUGCUGCAGUCAUCUUGGGUUCAAGAGGUGACACAGCCCUUCACUCCACAGUUACUGGCCACAACACUGGGCUCAUUCAAGUCAGACAAGUUACUAGGACUCAGCAUCAUUCUGUAUGAGUUCCUCACCCACAUCCCAUCUCCCUUGGAAGACAUCCUCCUACAGCUGUGCACCACCUUCUGGUCUUGUGGAAACUUCCUUGUCUGCUGGAAAUUUUCCACCUCAUCCCUAUCAUUAAGCCCAGCAAGGAGUCCACACCCCUUGCCUCCCACUGGCCCAUCACUUGGCUGUGGCGUAGUGGAUAAAGUGGUGAGCGUGGGAUUGGGCAGACAUCCAUGAGCAAGUUUGAAUCUCACCACAUAGCACCUUGAAACUUUGCCAUUUGUUGAGUGGUUUAAAAUUACCUACAUGUCAUGAUAUCCAUGUUCUAGGUGCUUACACCAAAGAUGCACUCAGGUGGUGAUAUGGGCCCUAAUAUGGGUACCACUAUGAAUAAAAUUGCCUGCGUCACUAAUGGGUGGAAACUGAACAACACUUGCCACACUCUUCAAGUAUACCUACAGGCACUAUAGGGCAUAACAUGGGAAAAAAAAAAAAAACCUGCUCUCCUGUGUAUGAAAGGACCAGUGCAGCUCCAGCCACCUCAUGAGUAUCCUUGAAUUCUUGAGUCACCUACCACCGGUGACAGUUUGUGAUGUCCCUCAUGGUAGAUCCAGAAGGGGUGCUUGACUCACCACCUCAUAAGGGCAUUUCCUACAAACUUGCAGGAAUAGAUCUAUAGGGACCAACCCUCACUUGACUCCAUGACUUGCUCACAGACUGUUUUUUUCAAGAGGCUGUGGUUUCUUCCUACAUCAUCAUACACUCCAUACUAAGAGGUGUCUUUUAAGGCUCCAUCCUAAGGGUGCAUUUACACCAAGUGAAUCAAAUGAAUUUCUUUAGGAUAACCACAGAAUAAUUUAAGAUGUUGGUGGAGCCUGUCACCAACUUGGACUACAGCAGAAACUAUGUCUGUUCGUGACACUCCGAGAGAAUACUUUGUCAAGCCAGGUGGAGCUGUUGAGUGGCAGGACAGAAUGAUCCACUGAUACAUGCAUUUACCAUGUAAGAAAUGGGCACACCAGUUGAUACCAUAUUAUCACAUCUACUCUUUAACAGUAUACGGAGUAUAUUAAAACAAAUAUAGGAGAAGGGAAAGACAUCGUGUCAUUGUGACACCCCUAUCUUGGUGAACUAUUGCUGUGUUAUGACACCUUGUCUUGGUGAACUACUUUUUCAUUAUGACACCUUGUCUUUCUGAAUAAAGUACAAUGACUGAGUUA
Portunus trituberculatus (swimming crab) is the source of this 3931-nucleotide long non-coding RNA. RefSeq lists it as uncharacterized. Lineage: Eukaryota; Metazoa; Arthropoda; Malacostraca; Decapoda; Portunidae. The transcript has 2 exons. The record is from RefSeq and is a predicted model, not a curated record.